RNAcentral lists this ribosomal RNA (253 nucleotides) under uncultured bacterium. Its description in RNAcentral is "partial 16S ribosomal RNA". It matches the Rfam family "Bacterial small subunit ribosomal RNA", at positions 524 to 777 of the family's 1533-position model. The record is from RNAcentral.
UACAGAGGGGGCAAGCGUUAUUCGGAAUUAUUGGCGUAAAGGGCGCGUAGGCGGCUUGGCAAGUGGAAGGUGAAAUCCCUCGGCUCAACUGAGGAACUGCCUUCCAAACUGCUUUGCUUGAGUCCGGGAGAGGCGAGUGGAAUUCCCAGUGUAGCGGUGAAAUGCGUAGAUAUUGGGAGGAACACCAGUGGCGAAGGCGGCAUCCUGGACCGAGAUUGACGCUGAUGCGCGAAAGCCAGGGGAGCAAACGGGG